GACGAACGCUGGCGGCGUGCUUAACACAUGCAAGUCGAACGGAAAGGCCCUGCUUUUGUGGGGUUCUCGAGUGGCGAACGGGUGAGUAACACGUGAGUAACCUGCCCUUGUCUUUGGGAUAACUUCAGGAAACUGGGGCUAAUAUCGGAUAGGAGAUCCUGCUGCAUGGUGGGGGUUGGAAAGUUUCGGCGGUUGGGGAUGGACUCGCGGCUUAUCAGCUUGCUGGUGGGGUAGUGGCUUACCAAGGAUUUGACGGGUAGGCGGCCUGAGAGGGUGACCGGCCACAUUGGUACUGCGAUACGGACCAGACGCGUACGGGAGGCAGCAGUGGGAAGCAUUACACAAUGGGCGGAAGCCUGUUGCAGCAACGUCGCGUGCGGGAUGACGGCCUUCGGGUUGUAAACCGCUUUCGCCUGUGACGAAGCGGGAGUGACGGUAAUGGGUAAAGAAGCACCGGCUAACUACGUG
This 468-nucleotide ribosomal RNA is filed under the name uncultured bacterium. RNAcentral describes it as "partial 16S ribosomal RNA". It matches the Rfam family "Bacterial small subunit ribosomal RNA", at positions 28 to 507 of the family's 1533-position model. The record is from RNAcentral.